ACACACACACACACACACACACACACACACACACACACACACACACACACACACACACACACACACACACACACACACACACACACACACACACACAGGCUGAACGCGCUGGGGCUCCCUCCAGCUAUCAGCGUGGGUUUCCCCCUCCUUCUCCCUCCUCCUCCUUUUUUCUUCUCCCUCGCCGCCGCUCCGCCGUUGAGGGAAGGAAGGGAAGGAGGGAGAGAAAGAGAGAGAGAGGCAGAGGGUGAGAGAGCUCCCCUCUUCACAACUCUCCCCUGGAAGCCUCAGCUGCUGGCGAGACUGCGCGGUUACACGGGCAGCCUGCCUGCCUGCCUGCGCAACGGAAUGGCGGCGGUGUGCGGACGGUUCGUCUUGCGCCACAGCGGUCACGAACGGACCGAGACGGAAAGAGAGUCUGCGAGUGCACGGCGAGGCUCGAUUUGCCGGUGAAAGUCGCGGAAGAAACGGGAAACCGCUCCGUGUUUUUGAAGAGAGAGAGAGAGAGAGAGGGAGAGGGAAGAAGAAGGGGGAUGGGGGGAGCUUGGAAAAGCCACGGAUGCCGGAAAAGUGCGCUUUUAUUCGGUGCGUAAUGACACGACGCGUCUCUCCGGUGGUUGUACCGACGUGCUGUUGACGAGAAGAAGAGGAGGAGGGUGAAGGUGGGGGUGUGCGUGUGGGGGGGAUUCAACGUAUGAGGCUGAUGCCGGCGAAUACCGGGGACGGUUUCAUAUCCAGAUACUACAGCCGACACGGGAGCAGAGGCUACAGCCCCAUUGCGCGCAACACGGCGCACAUGGCACGCCCCCUCGCCUCCCUCCAGCUCCACACUGACGGGGAGGCGUUUGCUGGGGCGCCAUUUUCAAAAGCCUUCUUUGCAUAUGAGAUGUGUUUUUGCUGCAGGAGGGCUGCAGCCCGUCCUGCCUUCUCAUGUUACACACAGUCUGUCUGCCUGAGAGGAGCUUGGACUGAGGAAAACAACAGAUCUGGACGGGACCUCUAACGCGCCAUCUAUUCUUUUUAAAAGUCUAUAUAAUUUUGUUGCAAAGCCGAUCCAUAAUCACGCAAACUUUAAACUCCAGACGUGGCUGCUGAGCUACUCGUCCCAUCAGGCUCUGCUCCCCUUGAGACAUUAAACGCAUAGUUCAAUUCUCUCCUCACUGACAGCAUAAAACAACAAGCCCACUAUUCAUUUGUGAAUGUAUCUGCACAUUCCUUAUUUCCCCUUCUCUUUCUUUUGCUCUCUCUUUCUAAACACUGACAUUUUCUCAUACAAGCCUUUCCCAAUUACCUCGCCGUGCUUUUAAUUUAAUAGAACAGAAAAAUCAUUCCAGCAUUUUGCUCCGACACCAGCGUGAUGGGACCGAACAUGUUGGAACUCGGUGCAAAAUAUUAUCUGUAAAGUGAGGCAUGACGACCCACUUACACUUUGCAGGAGUGUGUACAAAGCCUAUUCAGAGACAGUGCCGGUUGGGUUUUAUUAUAAAAAUGGAAAACCUCAAAUGAGCAGAUUCAUAAACAAAUCAAAUACUACAAUUUCUAACAGAUGUGUGUAAUUAACUUUGAAGUCAGACUGGAGUACAGGGGACGUGAUAUUUAGGUUUUGAUGGGUAUAUCUGGAUGUAUACGGCCAAAAGCGAGAGCUGUGUAUCAUGGCAAAAUAUUGAUUUUGCAGUGUCCUGAGAAAGACAGACGAACACUCACUCACUCACUCACUCACUCACUCCCCCUCCUACCUCUUUAUUCCAUUAAUCUCUCGGAGUGGUGUAAGAUACUGGAGGGUUAGUGUAACAUUGUGCAGCUCUAAUAUAUUCCAGCCCUCACUUUGCCUGUGGCAUCCAUAUGUUUAAUUCCACUACAAAUGUUUCAACAGCAAAUGAAACUUGUUUCUUUCUCCCUUUUUUCAACAUUAGGUUGGAGUUUUGUGGAAUAUAUAUAUAUAUACACACAUAUAUGCAUCUAGAGGGGGCUUCUUUUGAGUGUGUGUGCAUUUCAAAAAGGAGCUUUAUUUAAUUGGUUGUGGACCACCUGGAGUUUCAACAUUUCCCCUGGCUGAUUUCAGAUCAACUAUAUUUGAUGUCUAUAGCUAAAGAAAAGACGGAUGAAAUUUGCCAUUUGCAUUGCUAAACUGAUAUUAUGUUGCAUAAAAACAUGCUACUUAUUUCUGUUUUAAAUUUUAAAAAAAUAUGUUCAACACCAUGCUUUUAAAUAAAGAUUUUAAAUGGAAA
Acanthochromis polyacanthus (spiny chromis) is the source of this 2225-nucleotide long non-coding RNA. RefSeq lists it as uncharacterized. The record is from RefSeq and is a predicted model, not a curated record. Lineage: Eukaryota; Metazoa; Chordata; Actinopteri; Pomacentridae. The transcript is spliced from 2 exons.